CCCCUCUCAGGGUCACACCUGGAGAGUUUCCAGUACUCUACCAGCCUCGACUAGAGGAAGAAAAGUCAAGCAGAGGUGUAUCCAUUCCAUUCCUAGCUUGGGCAGUGGCUAGCAAAUGGAAGACGAUUUGCCAUGAGU
This 138-nucleotide small nucleolar RNA is filed under the name Ornithorhynchus anatinus (platypus). The record is from RNAcentral. Lineage: Eukaryota; Metazoa; Chordata; Mammalia; Monotremata; Ornithorhynchidae.